GUGGGGAAUAUUGGACAAUGGGCGAAAGCCUGAUCCAGCCAUGCCGCGUGAGUGAUGAAGGCCUUCGGGUCGUAAAGCUCUGUCGCAGGGGAAUAACACAAUGAAGGUACCCUGUAAGAAAGGAUCGGCUAACUUCGUGCCAGCAGCCGCGGUAAGACGAGGGAUCCUAGCGUUGUUCGGAAUCAUUGGGCGUAAAGCGGAUGUAGGUGGCUAUGUAAGUCAGAUGUGAAAGCCUGGGGCUCAACCCCAGAAGUGCAUUUGAUACUGCGUAGCUUGAGUGUCGGAGAGGUUACUAGAAUUGUUGGUGUAGUGGUGAAAUACGUAGAUAUCAACAGGAAUACCGGAGGCGAAGGCGGGUAACUGGCCGAACACUGACACUGAGAUCCGAAAGCGUGGGGAUCAAACAGGAUUAGAUACCCGGGUAGUCC
RNAcentral lists this ribosomal RNA (428 nucleotides) under uncultured bacterium. Its description in RNAcentral is "bacterial SSU rRNA". It matches the Rfam family "Bacterial small subunit ribosomal RNA", at positions 354 to 796 of the family's 1533-position model. The record is from RNAcentral.